GCGAACUCCGGUCAGCUGACACAUCCCUGCCAAUCUCCGGCAGACCCUCCCUCCCACUUCCUGGACAGCAUCCAUGUUGAAGCUGCCUUCAACAUGGAUGCUGUCCAGGAAGUAGGAGGGUCUGGGAGGGAGGGUCUGCCGGAGAUUGGCAGGGAUGUGUCAGCUGACCG
Pelobates cultripes (western spadefoot toad) is the source of this 170-nucleotide non-coding RNA. NCBI's taxonomy places the organism in Eukaryota, Metazoa, Chordata, Amphibia, Anura, Pelobatidae. The record is from the annotation of a GenBank genome assembly.